AAGCAGACAGUUAUCCCUUUCUAGUCUCCUUGUGACUUUAGAGGGAGUCAGUCUGCAAAAUUAAAUGGUGAGCUGUUUCUGUCCAGCAUCACAGUGUGUUGGUGGUGGCUUCAGCCUUGCCAAACAUCA
Dromiciops gliroides (monito del monte) is the source of this 129-nucleotide small nucleolar RNA. RefSeq annotates it as small nucleolar RNA SNORA56. Lineage: Eukaryota; Metazoa; Chordata; Mammalia; Microbiotheria; Microbiotheriidae. The transcript has a single exon. The record is from RefSeq and is a predicted model, not a curated record.